GCUCCGCUGCCCUUCAGGUAGACGGCGGGGUGACGGCCCACCGUGCCGACAUCGGGUAGCCGGGUUGAGAGACCGACCGGCCCGAUUGGGAGUGAGACACGGCCCAGAUUCUUCCGGGAGGCAGCAGUGGGGAAUCUUGCGCAAUGGGGGGAACCCUGACGCAGCGACGCCGCGUGCGGGACGGAGGCCUUCGGGUCGUAAACCGCUUUCAGCAGGGAAGAGUCAAGACUGUACCUGCAGAAGAAGCCCCGGCUAACUACGUGCCAGCAGCCGCGGUAAUACGUAGGGGGCGAGCGUUAUCCGGAUUCAUUGGGCGUAAAGCGCGCGUAGGCGGCCCGGCAGGCCGGGGGUCGAAGCGGGGGGCUCAACCCCCCGAAGCCCCCGGAACCUCCGCGGCUUGGGUCCGGUAGGGGAGGGUGGAACACCCGGUGUAGCGGUGGAAUGCGCAGAUAUCGGGUGGAACACCGGUGGCGAAGGCGGCCCUCUGGGCCGAGACCGACGCUGAGGCGCGAAAGCUGGGGGAGCGAACAGGAUUAGAUACCCUGGUAGUCCCAGCCGUAAACGAUGGACGCUAGGUGUGGGGGGACGAUCCCCCCGUGCCGCAGCCAACGCAUUAAGCGUCCCGCCUGGGGAGUACGGCCGCAAGGCUAAAACUCAAAGGAAUUGACGGGGGCCCGCACAAGCAGCGGAGCAUGUGGCUUAAUUCGAAGCAACGCGAAGAACCUUACCAGGGCUUGACAUAUGGGUGAAGCGGGGGAGACCCCGUGGCCGAGAGGAGCCCAUACAGGUGGUGCAUGGCUGUCGUCAGCUCGUGUCGUGAGAUGUUGGGUUAAGUCCCGCAACGAGCGCAACCCCCGCCGCGUGUUGCCAUCGGGUGAUGCCGGGAACCCACGCGGGACCGCCGCCGUCAAGGCGGAGGAGGGCGGGGACGACGUCAAGUCAUCAUGCCCCUUAUGCCCUGGGCUGCACACGUGCUACAAUGGCCGGUACAGAGGGAUGCCACCCCGCGAGGGGGAGCGGAUCCCGGAAAGCCGGCCCCAGUUCGGAUUGGGGGCUGCAACCCGCCCCCAUGAAGUCGGAGUUGCUAGUAAUCGCGGAUCAGCAUGCCGCGGUGAAUGCGUUCCCGGGCCUUGCACACACCGCCCGUCA
This 1149-nucleotide ribosomal RNA is filed under the name uncultured bacterium. RNAcentral describes it as "bacterial SSU rRNA". It matches the Rfam family "Bacterial small subunit ribosomal RNA", at positions 228 to 1399 of the family's 1533-position model. The record is from RNAcentral.